GAUGAACGCUGGCGGCGUGCCUAAUACAUGCAAGUCGAGCGAACAGACGAGGAGCUUGCUCCUCUGACGUUAGCGGCGGACGGGUGAGUAACACGUGGAUAACCUACCUAUAAGACUGGGAUAACUUCGGGAAACCGGAGCUAAUACCGGAUAAUAUAUUGAACCGCAUGGUUCAAUAGUGAAAGACGGUUUUGCUGUCACUUAUAGAUGGAUCCGCGCCGCAUUAGCUAGUUGGUAAGGUAACGGCUUACCAAGGCAACGAUGCGUAGCCGACCUGAGAGGGUGAUCGGCCACACUGGAACUGAGACACGGUCCAGACUCCUACGGGAGGCAGCAGAGGGAAUCUUCCGCAAUGGGCGAAAGCUUGACGGAGCAACGCCGCGUGAGUGAUGAAGGUCUUCGGAUCGUAAAACUCUGUUAUUAGGGAAGAACAAAUGUGUAAGUAACUAUGCACGUCUUGACGGUACCUAAUCAGAAAGCCACGGCUAACUACGUG
RNAcentral lists this ribosomal RNA (496 nucleotides) under uncultured bacterium. RNAcentral's name for it is "partial 16S ribosomal RNA". It matches the Rfam family "Bacterial small subunit ribosomal RNA", at positions 28 to 507 of the family's 1533-position model. The record is from RNAcentral.